GAAUUCUGUGGGAAUAAACACAACAAUAAAGAGAGAGAGAGAGAAACAACUGGUUUUUGCAGAAAAUGAAAGACAGGCUGCUUAAACAUUUACAGAAGCUCUACAAGAAAUCUUUAUGGGAAAUCCAAUGUAAUGCUAUGAUGAUGUCACUCCUUAGACUCAACUCACUACAUGCACCUGAUGUUGCAGAAUACUGUGGGCAUCCCAGGAGGGAAUGCUGGAGUGUCCUUUCUGAAAACAAGGCCUCAUCAGUAAUGAUGUUUCUUCACUGUGAUUUCUUCGCCAGGAAAUACUUUGAUCCCUGUCUCAAAAUUCAAGAGAGGGAGGGUGAUGGCCCCAGGGACGGGGCACUGGAGGAAAGGGGCAGACACUCUGAAGUAGCUCCUCCAAACUUCAGGGAAAGGGAGUGACUGCCAAACAUGUCUCAUGCCACAGGAACCUACCUCGGCGGGCUGGUCGGCUGGCUGGGGGAUCAGGAGCUGGUUGUGAUGCUGCAGCACAGUCUUCAAAUAAUCCAGAACGG
Long non-coding RNA from Panthera uncia (snow leopard), 523 nucleotides. RefSeq lists it as uncharacterized. NCBI's taxonomy places the organism in Eukaryota, Metazoa, Chordata, Mammalia, Carnivora, Felidae. The transcript has 4 exons. The record is from RefSeq and is a predicted model, not a curated record.